AUCAACAGUGGGUAGCUCUCUAGCAGGACUAACCGGAAAGCCAGGUGGGGACACAAAUGGCCACCAUCGGGGAGAGAAGGUGCACCCCAGGGUGAGGCGGUAGAUGUGAAUAAGGUCAUGGAAAUCUUCUGGACAAGACGCAGACCUUUCUGGAGCAGGCCACCCGCGCUUGAGGCCCCCAGUCUCGGACUGAGGCCACCCGAUGUCAGCCGUGGUGCCCACGGUGGUUGAUUCAAAAUGACUGAUGGGACCCCUCAGCUUUGUCCUUGGAAACUGGCAGGUGCUGCGACCCCUCUGGACACGCCACAGCUCAGGAGGGCGCCGCUCCCUGCCACCUCCAGGCCCCCGGGAUGGCUUUGGCUCUCUUGUGUCCCUGGCCUUUCCUUCUUCUCCCCGUGACGACGUGAGACCCGUGUCCCUGCCCUGGCAGUGAGCCCUUCAGCCCGUCCUCCCAGGGCACCUGCUGGGCUGUCCACCAGGGGGCCUCCUGCUGGGCACAGAAGGUUGCCUUCAGUUUCCUUUGCCCUGGGCCACCAGGCGUCCUGCCAGGUUGAAGGGCCAGUCAGCAGGGGCACUGCAAAGGGGGGCCUGGUGGCACCAGGUGGUUCACACGGAAGGCUGAUGGGGCCUCUGCCAAGUGCCACAUCAUGAGGAUGUCCCUGCCACGGUGUUGACCACCCAGUACUGGAAGUGACGCGCCCCGCAGCCAUGGAGCGUGGCGGGGGGUGGGGUGGGGGGCCUGUUUCCUUCUGAAGUCGUCAGUUUCACGGGUUCAGGUUCACCUGCUUCUCUUGUUGUGGACGGUGGGGCUCGCGGUCCUUUCUGUUUUAUUUUAACUCUUUAUUUCAGGGCUAUGAAAUAUCAAUCAGCUCCAAGUUUCAGCAGGAAGCAGUUGGUAGGCAGUGUGCAUUCUGUGCCUCUGUGCCUGCCUCUGGUCUCCUGUGGGUUUUUACUUCCACGCCCUUGGCGGGCACCUCUGCCUGUGGCUCCCACCUGGCAGCCCGUGCAAUGCCAGCCCGGCUGCCCCCAGAGGGGGCUCAGGGAGAGCCUGCUGCCUCCGCUAACCCCGUCGACAGAGGAAUCUGCUCUUCUUCGG
Molecule: long non-coding RNA, 1096 nt
Filed under: Marmota monax (woodchuck)
Lineage: Eukaryota; Metazoa; Chordata; Mammalia; Rodentia; Sciuridae
Source: RNAcentral